CUGACAGAGUGCUGGAUAUAAACAUUUAAAGACAACAUGAUUUUUUGCAUGUCUGGAUAUAUAGCACUGCGAACUUUCAUAAUAUUUAUCUUUAUUCCUUGUGCAAAUUUUCAGGGUUGUGAUGGAAAUCAUGGUUGUUGCUCGGGAUCAGCAUGGAAUGAAGCAUCACAAAUAUGUUUGCCAUGCAUGGAUGGAUAUGUUGGACUUAACUGCAACAAGACCUGUCUGUAUCCAAAAUAUGGUUUUAGAUGCCAGCAGAAUUGCAACUGUUAUCAGAUUAACUGCCAUGUAUCAACAGGCUGUGUUUUUCUUCUCACUAGUGGGUUUAAACUU
Molecule: long non-coding RNA, 333 nt
Organism: Saccostrea cuccullata (small rock oyster)
Lineage: Eukaryota; Metazoa; Mollusca; Bivalvia; Ostreida; Ostreidae
Exons: 3
Source: RefSeq, a predicted model, not a curated record